GACAGUCUGGGCGCUGUGGGCUGAGGUAGUAGUUUGUAUAGUUUUAGGAUCAUACCCGAUCUCGGAGAUAACUAUACAGCCUACUGUCUUUCCCACGGCG
MicroRNA precursor from Lepisosteus oculatus (spotted gar), 100 nucleotides. Ensembl annotates it as microRNA let-7f-2. Its record names the gene mirlet7g-1. The record is from Ensembl. Lineage: Eukaryota; Metazoa; Chordata; Actinopteri; Semionotiformes; Lepisosteidae.